This 317-nucleotide unclassified non-coding RNA is filed under the name uncultured Entrophospora. RNAcentral describes it as "uncultured Claroideoglomus sequence contains ITS2". Lineage: Eukaryota; Fungi; Glomeromycota; Glomeromycetes; Entrophosporales; Entrophosporaceae. The record is from RNAcentral.
AACGCAUAUUGCACUCUCUGGUAAUCCGGGGAGUAUGCCUGUUUGAGGGUCAGUAAAUAAUAAUUAUCAUAAUCUUUUGAUUGUGGAAUUGGGCCUUUAUUUCAUUAAUGAUUUAUGGCCUCAAAUUUACGUUACCGCUUGUUUAAUAUGAAAUUCGACCGAAUGGAGCAAUUAAACAUUCUCUCGUUAGGCGGAUUCAUCAAGCAAUUUACGAUUUUUUGGCCGUCGAAGCACUUUUUUUUAGAAGUGCUUGGUCGAGAUUGUAAGAUACAUUUAACAAUGACCUCAAAUCAGGCAAGAAUACCCGCUGAACUUAA